GACGAACGCUGGCGGCGUGCUUAACACAUGCAAGUCGAACGCUGAAGCUUGGUGCUUGCACUGGGUGGAUGAGUGGCGAACGGGUGAGUAAUACGUGAGUAACCUGCCCUUGACUCUGGGAUAAGCCUGGGAAACUGGGUCUAAUACUGGAUACGACAUGCCACUGCAUGGUGGUGUGUGGAAAGGGUUUUACUGGUUUUGGAUGGGCUCACGGCCUAUCAGCUUGUUGGUGGGGUAAUGGCCUACCAAGGCGACGACGGGUAGCCGGCCUGAGAGGGUGACCGGCCACACUGGGACUGAGACACGGCCCAGACUCCUACGGGAGGCAGCAGUGGGGAAUAUUGCACAAUGGGCGGAAGCCUGAUGCAGCGACGCCGCGUGAGGGAUGACGGCCUUCGGGUUGUAAACCUCUUUCAGCACGGAAGAAGCGAGAGUGACGGUACGUGCAGAAGAAGCGCCGGCCAACUACGUG
RNAcentral lists this ribosomal RNA (472 nucleotides) under uncultured bacterium. Its description in RNAcentral is "partial 16S ribosomal RNA". It matches the Rfam family "Bacterial small subunit ribosomal RNA", at positions 28 to 507 of the family's 1533-position model. The record is from RNAcentral.